UCCACCCGAUUGGUUCUAGCAGUUGUCC
This 28-nucleotide non-coding RNA is filed under the name Rattus norvegicus (Norway rat). The record is from RNAcentral. Lineage: Eukaryota; Metazoa; Chordata; Mammalia; Rodentia; Muridae.